Molecule: ribosomal RNA, 576 nt
Filed under: Triticum aestivum (bread wheat)
Lineage: Eukaryota; Viridiplantae; Streptophyta; Magnoliopsida; Poales; Poaceae
Description: partial small subunit ribosomal RNA
Source: RNAcentral
AUGGACGCCGGUCGCCGGAGAUCCCCUGCUUCGCGCUACUCCCCUGCUCUCCCGCGCGUCCGCCGCCGCAGCUGCCUCCUCCGCCGCUCCCUUCUGCCUCGCGCAGCCCCCCAGCCUCCCUUGCCUGCCUCCCGAAUCUUCCCUCUUUUACCCAAAAAAUUGUUUCUUCUUCCUCCCGCCGCGUCUCCUGCUCGCGGCCACCCCUCCCUCCUAGCGUUGAUGGAAGAAGCAUGGCCGGCCCUCGGCCCGACGGCCUGCGACGCGGCCUUCCCACCCCCGCCCCGGCCCCCAUGGCGUGGGGCGCGGCGGGAGACGGUGGCCAAGGAAUCGUCCGCGCAGGCGGUGAGCAGAAUCGUGUCCAGCUGCGCCAACUCGAGCGGCCUGGCCGUGGCCGCCGUCGACGCCAACGCCGCCAUCUCGGGCGGCGCCGUGCUCGCCUCCACUGCGGGCCGGCAGGUCACGGUGCUCGAGGAGGUGUGCGACGCCGCAGCACGCCGGAGGCUCGCGCUCCUGCCCACCCCCGUCGAGACCGUCGACCUAACCCCUGAGUUCGUCAAGAGAGUAGGGCCAGCUUGA